Molecule: transfer RNA, 72 nt
Filed under: Capra hircus (goat)
Lineage: Eukaryota; Metazoa; Chordata; Mammalia; Artiodactyla; Bovidae
Also listed under: 1 other name
Rfam family: tRNA
About the family: Transfer RNA (tRNA) molecules are approximately 80 nucleotides in length. Their secondary structure includes four short double-helical elements and three loops (D, anti-codon, and T loops).
Source: Rfam by way of RNAcentral
UCCCUGGUGGCUCAGAUGGUAAAGAAUCUGCUUGCAAUGCAGAAGAUCUUGGUUCGAUCCUUGGCUUGGGAA